AGCGAACGCUGGCGGCAGGCCUAACACAUGCAAGUCGAACGGAUCCUUCGGGAUUAGUGGCGGACGGGUGAGUAACACGUGGGAACGUGCCUUUUGGUUCGGAACAACGCAGAGAAAUUUGCGCUAAUACCGAAUGUGCCCUUCGGGGGAAAGAUUUAUCGCCAUUAGAGCGGCCCGCGUCUGAUUAGCUAGUUGGUGAGGUAAAGGCUCACCAAGGCUACGAUCAGUAGCUGGUCUGAGAGGAUGAUCAGCCACAUUGGGACUGAGACACGGCCCAAACUCCUACGGGAGGCAGCAGUGGGAAUCUUGCGCAAUGGGCGAAAGCCUGACGCAGCCAUGCCGCGUGAAUGAUGAAGGUCUUAGGAUUGUAAAAUUCUUUCACCGGGGACGAUAAUGACGGUACCCGAGAAGAAGCCCCGGCUAACUUCGUGCCAGCAGCCGCGGUAAU
RNAcentral lists this ribosomal RNA (448 nucleotides) under uncultured bacterium. Its description in RNAcentral is "bacterial SSU rRNA". It matches the Rfam family "Bacterial small subunit ribosomal RNA", at positions 29 to 524 of the family's 1533-position model. The record is from RNAcentral.